CUCGUUCCUGCCUGGUUUCCCCCCUUCCCUGCCUUUCCAAUGGUCUCGCCCACUCCACCCCUCGCGGGUCCACGGGGGCCCCGGCGCCGACUGAGGCGAGGGCUGCGGGACAAUCACGCUCGGCCUUCUCCUCUCCCGGGCGGCGCUCUCCCUGUGGCGGGGACCUGGGACGAGGGGGUGGGGUGGGGAGGGGAAGGCAGGAGGGGGCUGCCCUUCCGUUGCCCAUGCUAAAGGUUCCUGUGUAGGAAGCUGGACGCAGCCUGCUGGACUAGUAAUCUUCCUCCUCGCUGGGGCGCGGGGCACUGAAGGGAGGGAGAGACUUUCUCCUCCUUCCUGUUCCCCGGGACAGCUGUGCUCUCCGAAUCCUUCCCUUCUUCCCAGCCCACUUAUUCCCCGCUCGCCAAGGCACGUUUGCACAGGCAUUUUUCCUGCUCUUUUUUCUGGGAGGGCAGCUUGGUAGAAUGGUCGGCGGAGCUGGGCGAGGAGAGGGGUCUUCAGAAGGUUUGCUUUCUUGCUCUUGCUUCUCACUGGCCGCUGGGCUGUCCACUUUCCGCGCCGGGCGACUGGCAACAGGAGGCCAUGGAUUUCCCCCAACGACAUCUUCAACUAAAGAUGUCAAAGCACAAGCUCACUUCCCACGGAAGGUAGCAAUUACUAUUAUCUACUUGACAGCUACAAGAACCUAGGCACAGAGGUUAAGUGCUCUGCAAAUACUACCAGCCAGUGGUGGUUUUCCUGCCAGAACCAAGUUCUUGCCUUCCAGUGGACACCAUUGAUCUCUCAAGAUGAUUCUUUAAGUUAAAAAGCACGAAUCACAAAGGGCCUCAAAACCACAUUAAAAUUUAAGAUUGAUCUGCUCUUCUGCUUCUGAAUGUGAGAGCCUAUACUGGAUCUCUGAAGAAAAUAAAGAUGAGAUGAGGUUCUGAUCCCUUGGACUUCAUGAAGUUACGUGACAGAAAGUAUGAUUGUCUAGCCGAUACUUGACUGUGUGAAACCUUCAUCUACUCCGGAAUCCUGAGGCACAGACUCAGAGGCCCUCUGACUCACGAUUAGGGUUGUCAGGGUGAUGCAACAGCAAGACCAUAGCCUUUGGUGUCGGAAUACCAAGUUUUGAAGCUCAGUUUCCCCACUCACUAAUUUUCAGUGAGCACAUACAUAAUUUGAAAUCUGAAAAUGGACAAUAAUGCCUACCUACUUCAAAAUUUGGUUUGAGAAUCAAGUGAAAUAUUAAUAUAUAUGUAAGCAUUUUAUGAACAAGGAAGCAAGUUAUAAAUGCAUUAUCUUGUUAAUUUAGUCAUUUCACUAGGGGUGGGUCCAAUGUGGGCCUCCUUUGAGGUAGAC
This 1341-nucleotide long non-coding RNA is filed under the name Homo sapiens (human). RNAcentral's name for it is "PREDICTED lncRNA (TCONS_00194620)". The record is from RNAcentral. Lineage: Eukaryota; Metazoa; Chordata; Mammalia; Primates; Hominidae.